GACGAACGCUGGCGGCGUGCUUAACACAUGCAAGUCGAACGGAAAGGCCCUUCGGGGUACUCGAGUGGCGAACGGGUGAGUAACACGUGGGUGAUCUGCCCUGCACUUUGGGAUAAGCCUGGGAAACUGGGUCUAAUACCGAAUAGGACCACGGCCUUCAUGGGUUGUGGUGGAAAGCUUUUGCGGUGUGGGAGGGGCCCGCGGCCUAUCAGCUUGUUGGUGGGGUAAUGGCCUACCAAGGCGACGACGGGUAGCCGGCCUGAGAGGGUGACCGGCCACACUGGGACUGAGAUACGGCCCAGACUCCUACGGGAGGCAGCAGUGGGGAAUAUUGCACAAUGGGCGCAAGCCUGAUGCAGCGACGCCGCGUGAGGGAUGACGGCCUUCGGGUUGUAAACCUCUUUCAGCAGGGACGAAGCGCAAGUGACGGUACCUGUAGAAGAAGGACCGGCCAACUACGUGCCAGCAGCCGCCGUAA
RNAcentral lists this ribosomal RNA (478 nucleotides) under uncultured bacterium. Its description in RNAcentral is "partial 16S ribosomal RNA". It matches the Rfam family "Bacterial small subunit ribosomal RNA", at positions 28 to 523 of the family's 1533-position model. The record is from RNAcentral.